UGAGGAAUAUUGGACAAUGGGCGCAAGCCUGAUCCAGCCAUGCCGCGUGCAGGAUGACGGUCCUAUGGAUUGUAAACUGCUUUUUGUACAGGAAGAAACAGUUCUACGUGUAGAACCUUGACGGUACUGUAAGAAUAAGGAUCGGCUAACUCCGUGCCAGCAGCCGCGGUAAUACGGAGGAUCCAAGCGUUAUCCGGAAUCAUUGGGUUUAAAGGGUCCGUAGGCGGUUAGAUAAGUCAGUGGUGAAAGCCCAUCGCUCAACGGUGGAACGGCCAUUGAUACUGUCUGACUUGAAUUAUUAGGAAGUAACUAGAAUAUGUAGUGUAGCGGUGAAAUGCUUAGAGAUUACAUGGAAUACCAAUUGCGAAGGCAGGUUACUACUAAUGGAUUGACGCUGAUGGACGAAAGCGUGGGUAGCGAACAGGAUUAGAUACCCAUGUAGUCCCUGAGCGGGCUGGCAAGGCGCAU
Molecule: ribosomal RNA, 468 nt
Filed under: uncultured bacterium
Lineage: Bacteria
Description: bacterial SSU rRNA
Rfam family: Bacterial small subunit ribosomal RNA
Source: RNAcentral